CCAGAUAAUCUGAACCUGUAUGUGUAGGAUCUCAAAGGAAUUCAGGAGAGUAACAUCAUGAAGUACACUAGCAAAAUAUGACGAGGAGGAGAUAAAGAAAGAUUCAUCAAGUUCAUAUUAGGAAGGUUGGCAAUAAAGAACUUUAAUUGUUCUCUUCUCAUGUGGUUUGUUGGGACUUUAAUAUUAGCCGAAGACUUAGCUACUGAACACCUAAUUUGUUGCGUCGAAAAAAAAAACACCUCUUUUCAUAGAACAAACUUCCAUAUUCCCGGUAAGUGUGUAUAGAAAUCAACCCAAACCCAUGAUUCACAUAGGAUGAACACUGUACAAGCUUCGGAGAAUUUGUGCAAAAAAUACCAAAACAGAGAUGCGUAGAACACUAAUUACCAAAAGAUAUCUUUGAUAAUAAGUGGAAGCCUCACAUGGAAUCACCUCGGCACCGAUAGACCAAGCUCUGGAAAGGGGGAAAAAUGGUCUCAGGAGAUUUUUUCAAGUAGAAAUUUCAUAGAACUAAUUUAAGAAAGCAAUAAAGACAUGACAUACAUAAAUGCCAAACAAUACCAAUUUGAGGGGUGUAUUAUUUUCAAAAUUUUACUUCAAUUGAACCGUUUUAUUCAACAUUCAUCAAUUCCAAAGCCAUAUAAUCUAUGAUGAGCUUUGCCAAAAGUCACAGAUCUUCCAGAUUGACAGAAUAGACGAAAGAGAAAGAGGAAUGAAAUAAGAGAACUUUUAAGGCAAUGUCAAUUCAGUUAUAAGAGAACGAGAAGAGGAGAAAGAUAUUAGACAUACAAAGUUAAACAUAUUAAGCAAAAGAAAGCUCUUUCAAAAAUAAUACAGAAGAUACCCAUGUAUCAAUUUCCUUAUUUUCUUUGCUCAAUAAUCCAAAUGCAAGAAAAUAUGUCCUCCUUAUAUUUGUCUUAAAUAGGUCUCGCACCACUAAAUCCAAACGGAUGGUACACAUACUCCAAUAGGAACUUCGAGUUAAUCAACUGUUGAGACCCCCCUUCUCAUUGAAAACCCAAGAUUAGCAUGAAACAUGAAGACAGUACAUGAACUUAUACUUGGCAUGUUUAAAUUUGAGAAUAAAAACAAAUGCAUGAAACGGACCAAAGAGGUAAAUAGCAAUUCUCCAGGGUAGAAACAGAACCUAAUAGGCUUAAGGGUCUACCUUCAUGGUGGCAAGAAAGAAAACGUUCACGUUCCAUCAACUCCAUCUGGGAAAAGGAGUUAUUGUCACCACAAUAUUCUUACAAAAUACAAAAAAUCUACUAGUCUACUAAGAACUACAAAUUCUAGAAAUGAUAAAUUGCUUCUCUGGAGAUCAUUGAAUACUUGUACCCUAAAAUAAAGAGGGAGGAGCACACCCAUGAAAGACAUGCUUUUCUAAGGUAGAUAAUGACGUACUAGAGAUGAAGAAAUAUUAGCCCAAGUGAACCCUAAAGGUCAUAAAAGUGUGACACUGACCGUCAAUCUAGCCUCCCAACAACACCCUUGAAGAGUUGCUACUGAGGUAGUUGAAGGUUUAGCGACGUAUCGCAACAAGGAACUUCUUUUAUUUUAUUUUAUUUGAGAAAUAAAGCAACAGGGAGCUCAUAUCUAUCUGUUUUCCAACUCUUACACCUUAGUCAAUCAGCUCAAAAGGAGCCAAAUCAAUGAAGGUGAUACUUUUCUAGUUACAAAUUUGCCAGCUUCUUAACAAGAUGAAAAACCAUAACAUAAAAUCAUAUCUCAAUGAAUUUUUCCCCCCAUUUUUAAUCAUAUUGGAGUUCCUUGAUCUUCCUUCACAAAAGUGGCUAGCUUCUUUCUUUAAACUACAUCAUUACUGUUUUGUUCUCGCACACAUUGCAGUGGCUUAGGUCACUGUGGUACUUGUUUCAUAGAUUUAUUAUCUUGGAAAAUUUUCCGACUGUUCAUCUAUGUGUUGGUUUCUCUAAUGAUGAUGUACAUGUUUUGUUAUGACGGUGGUGUCGAGGCUUACUUGGUAAGCACCUCAACUAUUCCACCGGUUAUCUGCAACCUCUUACUAGCACAGAUACCAAGUAACUCUACCCACCAACUCUUACGUAGAUAGGAAGAAAUCAUCUAAUGUCUUUUUUUCCUCCUCUAGGACUUGAACCUGUGACUCAUGGUUCUUCUCCCACUUUAUUAGCUACUAGGCCACACACUUAGGUAGACAAGAGGGGCUUGGUCUGAUGGUAACCAACCCUC
RNAcentral lists this long non-coding RNA (2208 nucleotides) under Nicotiana benthamiana. RNAcentral describes it as "long non-coding RNA (NBEN_LNC038031)". The record is from RNAcentral. Lineage: Eukaryota; Viridiplantae; Streptophyta; Magnoliopsida; Solanales; Solanaceae.